Molecule: long non-coding RNA, 1720 nt
Filed under: Carica papaya (papaya)
Lineage: Eukaryota; Viridiplantae; Streptophyta; Magnoliopsida; Brassicales; Caricaceae
Description: long non-coding RNA (CPAP_LNC011927)
Source: RNAcentral
AAUCGGGGAAGGUUUUUGGUGACAACACCUGGAGAUAUCAGAAGUGAGAAUGCUGACAUGAGUAACGAGAAAUCCUGUGAAAAACACGAUCGCCUGCCAGUGGAAGGCUUUCUGCGUUCAGUCAAUCUACGCAGAGUGAAUCGGUCCCUAAGGAACCCCCGAAAGGGCUGCCGUCCGAUGGGUACACGAAAGUGACGAAGUUGCUUUGACUACAGAACUAUGCCUGUCUGUUGGAGCGAAUUGGAUGAUCGGGCCGAGGGCUGCCCCCUCUUCCCCUCACUCUCCUUUCCCUAAUAUGAACCUUGAGUCAUCAAAGCCUUUCUGACUCGGCCUGGCCCGGUCGCCCUACGCGACUGGCGCUUCAAAAGGCGAAACUCUCGUCGUAGUUUGGCGACCUAAGGGGCGGACACUUUUUUGAUCUAAAGGCGAAGACUCUGAGUGGGCGAACACUCGGCCCAGCGGGCGAACAUGUCGGGCUCCGACUCCGCGCACCUACUGAGAGUUCUUCCUUCCUUAUAGACUUUCAGGGAAGACGAUCUCUUUCUUUCCUUAGCUUUAGCAGCUGAGGCGUGAGCAAGAAGACCAGGUUCUCGGCAUCUCAGAAUCAGAAGGAAGGUCUCAUUCCAGUUUGAUUUCCAUGCCUACAAGAAAGAUAGAAGAUCGGAAAUGCCGAAUCUUUAGAAUAUCUGUUUGUGAUUCAAAGCAAAGUGCUUGAACUGCACUUUUUUCUUCAAUUCAAUAGGGUUAGACCGAAUCCAUCAUGAAGUUCUACCCGUUUGGUCAGGUACUUCAUUAUUAGUGUGCUGAACAGAUAUCCCAAAAACGAGCUAAAAGCCAUAGCAAGAGAUAUAGCGUUGGCUUCCGACUUAGUGAGCUCAUAAACUGGCAAAUAAAUUCAUUUGAAAUAAAAGAGAAAGUCGGGUCUAGCUCUUAUUUGAACUAGAACAUAGUCAAAAGCUAUUGGCUGCCUAGUUUUAGGUUUAGAGUCCUCCUCAUUCUUUCCCAAGCUUCCGAAUGGGGAGAAUAUUGACGGCUGCAGCAUUAUCCGCCAAUACCCUUGAUAGAGGCACCCCAUCCAUGUGGACUCGCUUUAUGCUUGAGAAAGAGCCUUCCCGGCGAUCUGCUUCAUGAAUGGAAGGGUGGAACCAAGGAAGACAACUGAAUACUAGAAAUUCAAAGAGAAGGAUUUCCAGAGGUAAAUAUCUGGCAUUGAGCCCGCCUAUCAUAAGUAUGAGUUGGGAGAGCGAGAUAGAGACAAAUACCCAAUAGAUGGUGAAAAAGCUUUCCUGCACGCGGGAACCUUCCUUCUGUCUUGCAGUCUUGAUGCUCAAUUCUAUUCCCCCGCUCUUGCAAGGCUAGCCGGGAGGGAGGUCUUUUUUCGGGUUUGGUUUGCCUAGAUAGGAAGUGCGCUUGCAGUGCUUCUAGUAACGAUUUUGAAGUGCAAUAUCUUGGGGUAUGAUUGCUUCUUUCUUCGGCUUAAUAGGGCUUGUGGUUCGUUAUCAGUACGUAUUUUAGAGCGAUAUAACCUCGUUGCCCGCCUCUCAAUGUGGUGCCUUUCACUCUGCUCUGUCAACACUUUCUCGCUAUGCCGGAAGGUAGGAUUUUAGGUCUUUUCCCAAGCUAUGAAUCUUCAUCAAUGGCAUAGUAAUAAGAGAGAAAGAAAUUAGUGAUUUGAUGUUCCAUCCGCAAACACGACGAAAAAGGUAGCCGAACCACCUCC